This 492-nucleotide ribosomal RNA is filed under the name uncultured bacterium. RNAcentral's name for it is "partial 16S ribosomal RNA". It matches the Rfam family "Bacterial small subunit ribosomal RNA", at positions 29 to 507 of the family's 1533-position model. The record is from RNAcentral.
AGUGAACGCUGGCGGUAGGCCUAACACAUGCAAGUCGAACGGCAGCACAGUAAGAGCUUGCUCUUACGGGUGGCGAGUGGCGGACGGGUGAGGAAUACAUCGGAAUCUACUUUUUCGUGGGGGAUAACGUAGGGAAACUUACGCUAAUACCGCAUACGACGUACGGGUGAAAGCAGGGGAUCUUCGGACCUUGCGCGAUUGAAUGAGCCGAUGUCGGAUUAGCUAGUUGGCGGGGUAAAGGCCCACCAAGGCGACGAUCCGUAGCUGGUCUGAGAGGAUGAUCAGCCACACUGGAACUGAGACAGGGUCCAGACUCCUACGGGAGGCAGCAGUGGGGAAUAUUGGACAAUGGGCGCAAGCCUGAUCCAGCCAUACCGAGUGGGUGAAGAAGGCCUUCGGGUUGUAAAGCCCUUUUGUUGGGAAAGAAAAGCAGCAGGUUAAUACCCCGCUGUUCUGACGGUACCCAAAGAAUAAGCACCGGCUAACUUCGUG